CUUGGCUAGUCCCUUGAGACUUUUAAUUUCCUCUUUCUCCUUAUUUAAUUUAAGUUUAAUUAAUUCCUGGAUUUUUCACAUCUGAAUUUCAUCACCUUUCCUUUCAAGUCUUUGUGCUGUCUCACCCCAGAUUGUGUUUUUCCUCUUCUCUUCUCUUUCUGUUCCCACCCCCUCAAGCCCCUUACUUCACUCCCUCUCAUCUUCUAGCCUGUUCUGGCUUUGUGUUCUUUCCUACAGAACAGCUCUGAAAUCUCUCAUCAGGAGUGGAAGACACAUGAGGUGAAGGAGGGUAGCCAUCCCCUGGAAAUUGGAGUUAAACAAGGAAUGAUCGUUCUCAGGGAGAAGGUUGCCCUCACCUCUUACAACCAAUGCAUUCGAACACUGUGGGGGAUAAUAACAUCUGUCCCACAUAUCUCAGAGGACAUCUGGACCCCGAUGUGCCAAAGUAUAAGAUACAUUCACAGCCAGAUUGCCAAGGGGAUGAAAGAGCGGAUAAGCCAUGGAGAAGGGGUUGGAGAGUGUGUGUGUGUACGGGGGGAGCUAUAGGUUACUUUUUAGAAAGGAAAGAGAAAAGGAACAAAAUUAGGACCAUGGGCGUAUGCAAAAGAAAUGGUGAAGGAUAUGAGGGCAUAAACACGUCAACAGAGGUGCAAACCAGAAGAGUAAAGACUGUUAUAGAAGAAAAGGAAGGAGAAACAAAAGAGGGAAAGAAGCUCAUUGAACUGAAAAUAAAUUGACAAGAUUUAAGUGUGCAGAUUUGUUGGGGAGGGCAUUGUUUGCUAAUGGGAAAAGAACAGCAACUAUGUAUACUUUGCAAAUGUGUUUGAUGAAGGAGAAACGGAGUAGUAGAGAUAAGAAAGAAGAAAGCACUUUGAAAAGUGAGAGGCGCCGCGGCAAGAGGAGGGAGAAUGAACAAAGGGAAGGAACGCUUUAAGGGCGGAGAAAGCUCUGGGACCCGGGGAAAGCAGGCUGGAGGCUGGAGCUUUCGGCUGUUUGCCCUUCACUAUUCACUUAAUUCCCGUUUGGAGUUCGCUGUCAAUCACGCCCCCCGCCAGAGCCCAACCGCGGGAGCCCCUUCCUUCCCGAGACACUCCUUCCAUUAUCCUCGCUAAACCUGCCCGCGCCGCAGGAAUGCCCGCGGAUUGCUCACAUUAAGAAGCAAAUUGAUUAUGAACUGAGUUUUGUCUACCAACAAUUUUUAAUAUGUAAUCUUGUCAUGAGUGAACGAAAGUCAUUAAUAAUACAGUAAGCAAAAUGUGCUACAGUUAACCUUAAAUUAUAACUUACAAAGAGCAUUCCUGCAGUUUCUGCUUUGAUUUAUGAGCUCAGUUUAUUCUAUGCAAAUUCAUGCACAGUUUCUAAUAAG
RNAcentral lists this long non-coding RNA (1366 nucleotides) under Monodelphis domestica (gray short-tailed opossum). Its description in RNAcentral is "lncRNA (ENSMODG00000051014.1)". The record is from RNAcentral. Lineage: Eukaryota; Metazoa; Chordata; Mammalia; Didelphimorphia; Didelphidae.